GUCGCGGGGCCUGCCGGGAACUGGAGUGCGCCCCGCGGCCUUUUGCGCAGGCGCCGAAGCCACACCGCGAAGUACCGUUUUUUCAGGCACAAGGAAGGUUUCACCCCGUUGCCGAAAGACUAAGCGUCCCGUUGGCCAGUGCAACGAAGAACGGAGGAAGCGACAAGAUUUCAGUUUGUAAGUAGUGAGAGCAAUGAUCUUGGCUUUGCAUGGUGCUCAGGAAGCCUUCCCCGCUCCCAAACCAGAAAGGAAUCCAUCCAGAUUUUCCUCCACUGUCUGGAUGGCCGCUCUGUGGAUGCUUCCAUCUGUAUCCAUUGCCGGCACCUGGUGAGAUUCCGUCUCUAGAGCCUUUGAGGUCACUCCUGACGCUGACAUGGCUGUGAAGAGCUGGGUGCCAGGCAUUACUGCCUCCAAGGUUGCUUUGCGAGGAAUAGGUGGGGCAUCAGGAAGAAGCCAGUUGCAGGCAAGGCCUCUGCUGAUGCUGCUUUUUUCUCCUGUACCCAUCCAUGGGAGGGAGCUGUGAGAUGGCCUGGCAGAACCCGCUCUUGGACCCCACAGAAUGAGAGGCUCACCCUGCACAGGAACAUCCUGGGGCAGCAGGCUCAGCACAUUUUAAAUUUUGAGUAUGAACAAAGUAAACUUCAGGGUUAAAAAAAAACACAAAAAUUUGUCGAGCACACAAUGAUUGAGUGCCUAUGGUAUACCUGACGCUUUGCCAUAUCCAGGCUUCAAACCUCAGGGUUCUGGGUCCUUUGAGGCCCAGCUCCAACCCCACCUCACCCAAGCACUCUCCACCCCCACCACGUAACCUUACCAGGGCUGCCCAGCUUGGGUCAUCUCAGACCACUUGGGCCCCUCAGGCCUCACGCCCUGAGCCCCUCAGCCUGGAAACCAGCCUGGACACUAUGGGGGCCCCUGAGGUUUCCACCUCCUGCUGCCCUUGGCCUGAAAGGGGUCAGUGGGACCCCGCCUUGGGCCUCUGGGAGGCUGUACCUUUGCUUCUGCCUCAUCCUGUUCUCCAGGGCCCUGUCCCCUUCUUGCUGGGCCCUCCCGGGAUGCCCCCCAGUCACUGACCUCACUGGCCUAAGUCUCGCCUCCUCCAGGAAGCCUUCCAGACUGAUGGCUCCCAGGCACUGAGCAUCCCCCAACCUUGCUGUGAAUGGUGGAUGCCCACCAUGGGCCCUCGGAAGCCAGGGAAGCCUGGGUCUCCUUGCAGGGGCCGCCACAGUUUUUCAGCCACUGCGAUUCCACCCAGGUAAAUCCCUUUCCUGCUUGUGUUUCCCAAGAAUAACUGUGGAACGUGCUGGAAAUGCAACAUCCUGAGAUAGGGAGAACAGCCUGAAGCAGCCAGGGCCUAGUUCCUAUGCUCUGAGAGAAGGGAACGUCAUGAGUUAGGUAGGGGCCCCCAAAGAAGAAAGCGAGGCAAAAAUCCCUGUAAGUAGAGCUCGCCUGGGCCAAGGUGAAGACAACCACCG
RNAcentral lists this long non-coding RNA (1475 nucleotides) under Homo sapiens (human). RNAcentral describes it as "HSALNT0384114". The record is from RNAcentral. Lineage: Eukaryota; Metazoa; Chordata; Mammalia; Primates; Hominidae.